Fundulus heteroclitus (mummichog) is the source of this 1449-nucleotide long non-coding RNA. RefSeq lists it as uncharacterized. NCBI's taxonomy places the organism in Eukaryota, Metazoa, Chordata, Actinopteri, Cyprinodontiformes, Fundulidae. The transcript has 4 exons. The record is from RefSeq and is a predicted model, not a curated record.
CAGACAACAGUAUAAGUCACAUGGUUUCUCUCCCACUAAGAAUGAAAGUGAAACUGCUUCAAUUCCUUAAGAACCACUGGUUCAAGCCAGAAAUGUGCAGUCUGCAGUGUCCAUUGUAGGUGCUUGGUGAGCAGGAGAUUGCCUUUUUGCUUUUCUGGAGCAGAGCAUUUACAGCAAAGACCUAAACAUGUUCAAGACCUCUCCAGUGAAAGUUUACAAAGUCACUUCAGGGCACACCUUCGGUGCUGAUGAACAACUGCUGAGUGAAGUGAAGAAGAGGAUACCACUGACAAUCACAAACUGGCUGGAAAGCUUGAUCAUCGUUUUCUGCCCAGUCACUUCUCGGGUUGGAUCAGAUGUGGAAGCAGCCAUGAGUUGGGUGCCAGCAGGAGAUCAAAAAGUCAUUCUGGUUGUGAUGCACCACGUCCGAGAUGAGAACUACUCCACAGCUGGGACGCAGUGGUCUGAAACGUUUCCCAAUGUCAUCUUGGAUGUUCACGUUCUCUUUCAUGAGACUGAGCAAGGAUUACUAUCUUGUGCUAAAAAUUGGGAGGCGGUCGAUCAAAUAGUUUAUACAUUAGAUCGACUGUCACAGGCUCAACAGAUAGCAAAUAGUCAGACACAAGGGUUACUCAGAAUCCGUGACGAGCGUUCAGAGCGUUUAGCCUAUUGGAAGAUUGUUUUUGCAUUUAUUGUGGUUGUGUUUAUCUUAUUACUUGUCAUUUUAUUGUCAUGGAGCUUAAGCAGAAAUUCAAUUGAAGAUACUCUAUUGCCCACCUCCAUCCAACCAGAGACUCAUCCGCCUCCGACGCAAGCCUAUCAGCCUUGAACUGCUCCACCACGGAGCCAAUCAGCAUCCUGGGUUCAUCUUAAAAGAAGUUCAAAUCCACAUCUCAGCCUUCUACCCAGCAAGGAACCAGUGGCUGCGCAAUGUCUAAUUUGGACACUGAUGACUUGAUUCAACCUACCUCCAUCCCCUUCUCAACCAUCGUAGCCAAGCUCCAUCUAGCUUCCUAUGGUCCUCCUUCAACCUCGUCCCUAUCAGAGUGUAAUUCCUCCUGGACUCUUACAGAUUUCCCGGUCACACCUUAAUCGGUCCGGCAGAAGACCACCAUGUUUAGCCUAGUUCUGCCAGAGGUUUUUUCCCAAAGAGGAGUUUUUCCUCUCCACAGUCGCUUCAUGCUUGCUCAUAAUAGACAGUUCAUGCAAACCUGUGUUUAUCCAAGUUGGACAUCUAGCUCAUGCAGAUCAUCUCGCAAACCAGCCUUUAUGGACUAAACCAACUUUGUUUGUCUCCACUCCACCACCAGUUUCAGGCCUGGGGGGAAACAUCCCUAUUCUCAUACACCUGCUUAUGCAUAUUGAAGUAUAAUUCAGCCCGAAUGUUUCCUGCCGAGGUCUAAGCGCCAAUGUCUUAAAAUAUUAUAUCAAUAAAAUUCUUCUAAUUGU